Molecule: ribosomal RNA, 498 nt
Filed under: uncultured bacterium
Lineage: Bacteria
Description: partial 16S ribosomal RNA
Rfam family: Bacterial small subunit ribosomal RNA
Source: RNAcentral
GAUGAACGCUAGCGGCAGGCCUAAUACAUGCAAGUCGAGGGAGAAUGUUGGAUUCGUCUGACAAGAAACCGGCGCACGGGUGCGUAACACGUAUGCAACCUACCUUUAACUGGGGUAUAGCUCAGAGAAAUCUGAAUUAAUCCCCCAUAAGACUACGACAUGGCAUCAUGAUGUAGUUAAAGCUCCGGCGGUUAAGGAUGGGCAUGCGGUACAUCAGCUAGUUGGUGAGGUAAUGGCUCACCAAGGCUACGAUGUAUAGGGGGUCUGAGAGGAUGAUCCCCCACACUGGUACUGAGACACGGACCAGACUCCUACGGGAGGCAGCAGUAGGGAAUAUUGGUCAAUGGACGCAAGUCUGAACCAGCCAUGCCGCGUGAAGGAUGAAGGCCCUAUGGGUCGUAAACUUCUUUUAUUAGGGAAGAAAAAACGGGAUGCGUCCUGUACUGACGGUACUUAAUGAAUAAGGAUCGGCUAACUUCGUGCCAGCAGCCGCGGUAA